RNAcentral lists this ribosomal RNA (253 nucleotides) under uncultured bacterium. Its description in RNAcentral is "partial 16S ribosomal RNA". It matches the Rfam family "Bacterial small subunit ribosomal RNA", at positions 524 to 776 of the family's 1533-position model. The record is from RNAcentral.
UACGUAGGAUGCAAGCGUUGUCCGGAUUUACUGGGCGUAAAGAGCGCGCAGGUGGUUUGAUAAGUUGGAUGUGAAAGCCCCUGGCUUAACUAGGGUAGGUCGUUCAAAACUAUCAGACUCGAGUGCAGCAGAGGAAAGUGGAAUUCCCGGUGUAGUGGUGAAAUGCGUAGAUAUCGGGAGGAACACCAGUGGCGAAAGCGACCACCUGGACUGAUACUGACACUGAGGUGCGAAAGCGUGGGGAGCAAACAGG